AUAGUUACAGGGAAUGGGGUUACUAUGACCAAGAUUGUGGUUUUCCAUGGUGAGACUUUUCCAUUGCACACUUUGAUGGGUUCAUUCCUGUAAUUAUCCCAAAUGUGGGAAACUCAACUACCUAAUUUUUGAUAGUGGUGGACCAUGUUUGAGCAGUUAUCUA
Small nuclear RNA from Protopterus annectens (West African lungfish), 163 nucleotides. RefSeq annotates it as U1 spliceosomal RNA. The transcript has a single exon. NCBI's taxonomy places the organism in Eukaryota, Metazoa, Chordata, Ceratodontiformes, Protopteridae. The record is from RefSeq and is a predicted model, not a curated record.